GACGAACGCUGGCGGCGUGCUUAACACAUGCAAGUCGAACGGAAAGGCCCUGCUUUUGUGGGGUGCUCGAGUGGCGAACGGGUGAGUAACACGUGAGUAACCUGCCCUUGACUUUGGGAUAACUUCAGGAAACUGGGGCUAAUACCGGAUAGGAGCUCCUGCUGCAUGGUGGGGGUUGGAAAGUUUCGGCGGUUGGGGAUGGACUCGCGGCUUAUCAGCUUGUUGGUGGGGUAGUGGCUUACCAAGGCUUUGACGGGUAGCCGGCCUGAGAGGGUGACCGGCCACAUUGGGACUGAGAUACGGCCCAGACUCCUACGGGAGGCAGCAGUGGGGAAUAUUGGACAAUGGGCGGAAGCCUGAUGCAGCAACGCCGCGUGCGGGAUGACGGCCUUCGAGUUGUAAACCGCUUUCGCCUGUGACGAAGCGUGAGUGACGGUAAUGGGUAAAGAAGCACCGGCUAACUACGUG
RNAcentral lists this ribosomal RNA (468 nucleotides) under uncultured bacterium. RNAcentral's name for it is "partial 16S ribosomal RNA". It matches the Rfam family "Bacterial small subunit ribosomal RNA", at positions 28 to 507 of the family's 1533-position model. The record is from RNAcentral.